This 373-nucleotide ribosomal RNA is filed under the name uncultured Methanosaeta sp. RNAcentral describes it as "bacterial SSU rRNA". It matches the Rfam family "Archaeal small subunit ribosomal RNA", at positions 968 to 1338 of the family's 1478-position model. Lineage: Archaea; Methanobacteriati; Methanobacteriota; Methanomicrobia; Methanotrichales; Methanotrichaceae. The record is from RNAcentral.
UUACCCGACGUUAGCUGAGAGGUGGUGCAUGGCCGUCGUCAGUUCGUACUGUGAAGCAUCCUGUUAAGUCAGGCAACGAGCGAGACCCACGUCCACAGUUGCCAGCAUACCCUCCGGGGUGAUGGGUACACUGUGGAGACCGCCGCUGCUAAAGCGGAGGAAGGAGUGGGCAACGGUAGGUCAGUAUGCCCCGAAUCUCCCGGGCUACACGCGGGCUACAAUGGUUGGUACAAUGGGCAUCUACCCCGAAAGGGGAAGGAAAUCUCUUAAAGCCAAUCGUAGUUCGGAUUGAGGGCUGCAACUCGCCCUCAUGAAGCUGGAAUCCGUAGUAAUCGCGUUUCAACAGAACGCGGUGAAUACGUCCCUGCUCCUU